UGAGGAAUAUUGCACAAUGGAGGAAACUCUGAUGCAGCAACGCCGCGUGGAGGAUGAAGGGCUUUCAGCUUGUAAACUCCUGUAAAGAAGGAAAAAAUUCCCAUUAGAUGGGAAAUGAUGGUACUUCUAAAGUAAGCCCCGGCUAACUACGUGCCAGCAGCCGCGGUAAUACGUAGGGGGCAAGCGUUGUCCGGAUUUACUGGGUGUAAAGGGUGCUCAGGCGGAUUUGUAAGUCAGAGGUGAAAUCUCACAGCUUAACUGUGAAACUGCCUUUGAUACUGCAAGUCUAGAGUAUGGAAGAGAGUGAUGGAAUGUCUGGUGUAGCAGUGAAAUGCGUAGAUAUCAGAUAGAACACCAAUGGCGAAGGCAGUCACUUGGUCCAUUACUGACGCUAAAGCACGAAAGCGUGGGUAGCAAACA
This 420-nucleotide ribosomal RNA is filed under the name uncultured prokaryote. Its description in RNAcentral is "bacterial SSU rRNA". It matches the Rfam family "Bacterial small subunit ribosomal RNA", at positions 355 to 774 of the family's 1533-position model. The record is from RNAcentral.